This 397-nucleotide ribosomal RNA is filed under the name uncultured bacterium. RNAcentral's name for it is "partial 16S ribosomal RNA". It matches the Rfam family "Bacterial small subunit ribosomal RNA", at positions 523 to 918 of the family's 1533-position model. The record is from RNAcentral.
AUACGUAGGGGGCGAGCGUUGUGCGGAAUGAUUGGGCGUAAAGGGCGCGUAGGCGGCGCGGUAAGUCUGGAGUGAAAGUCCUGCUUUCAAGGUGGGAAUUGCUUUGGAUACUGCCGCGCUUGAGUGCAGGAGAGGUUAUCGGAAUACCCGGGGUAGCGGUGAAGUGCGUAGAGAUCGGGAGCAACACCAGUGGCGAAGGAGGGUAACUGGCCUGCAACUGACGCUGAGGCGCGAAAGUGUGGGGAGCAAACUGGAUUAGAUACCCUGGUAGUCCAUGCUGUGAACGAUGAAUGCUAGGUGUAAGAGGUAUCGACCCCUUCUGUGCCGCAGUAAACACAGUAAGCAUUCCGCCUGGGGAGUACGGUCUCAAGAUUAAAACUCAAAGGAAUUGACGGGC